UUUCAAAAUUAACAUAUCGGGUCAUUUCGGAAAUACUAUAAGUUGUUUCCAACCUGAUUUAAAAUGCCAUAUAGUGUAGUUUAUUUAUGCUUCACCUUUUUCCUUGUUUUGACAACAUGUAACAUUGUCGUGUACCUAACCGGAAGUGAACUAGUUAAUUCAUUCAUUUAAUGUGUAGUAAUAACUUGUUGUGCUUUAUCAUGUCAUGCAUAAUUAAAAUGGACAUGCAUCACAAUUGGAUGUGCAUCAUGGCAUGAAUAUGUUGUGGUGUUUAUCGUGUGUUGAUUGUUUGUUUCCGGAUUGUUUCUUCUCGAUAGAGUUCCGAACCACUUCGGACUGUGAGGAUCGUUCGAUCAUGUUGGUUCGUCUACUUCACGGAUUCGUUCUUCUUCCAAGCGGAAUCACACGCAAGAUGAUCAUUUCGCUAGAUACCACUACUAUAAUUGCUUUGCUAAUUGUCUCGCUUCUAUCGUUAUGUCACGCUUCCUACCAUGUGUUAUGUCAAGCCUCCCACCAUUGUCAUAAAAACCUCUAACCCCUCCAUAUCCUAGCAAACCUUUGUUUGGCUAUGUUACCGCUUGGUCAGCCCUUCUUAUAGCGUUGCUAGUUGCCGGUGCAAGCUGCUUUCAUGUAAAAACAUGGGCUCCUUAAUAUAUCAUAAUAUUAUUGCUAUUUAAUUUAAUGCACCUACACACUUGGUAAAAGCUGGAAGGCUUGGGCUUUUGUCUCUCUGUUUUGUUGCACUUUUGGCGCCCUAAUUACUUGUGUACUCGUGUUAUGUUCCAUAUUGAUCGUUCCUAACAUGCUUGGGAUCUUUAUGGGGAUCCCCUUGAUUUUUGUUCUGGGAUAAAACUCUUCUGGCAAGGCCCAACAUUGAUACUAUAUUUUCUCAAAAUAAUAAUACUAAACACCGUUAGUAAAGCAUAGGGAGUUAGCUCUAUUCGUGGAUUAAUUCAAUAUAAUACACGGGGGCUAGUGCUGAUGGUGUUGGUUACAAAUGGGCAGACUGCGGAGCCACCGUGAGGAAAAUCGUGGUUUGGUUUUACUAGUAGGCUUCCUAUCUAGUAGUGCCCUAGAAUCACUAGGAUAUCGAGGAUACCUCGGGCUAUCUCGACUUUGAUGUUUUCUCUCCAGGGCAGUUUGUGGUAGUUUGUGAUGGAUUGGUUGGAGCAUUGAUGCAGGGUUAAAUAUUUCGGAAAGCCGUGCCCGCGGUUAUGUGCCAACUUGGGAACUUUGUUUAACACCUGUUCAUAGCAAACUUGAAGUAAACUUAAUUAAAAUGUACCAACUGUGCGUGUAACCGUAACUAUCUAUUCUCGUAAUUAUGGGGUUAUGUUUGACUUGUAAGUAGGUGUUCCGGAUCAUAUCUUGAUCAUUAUUAGUUCUCGUCCAUUUAUGCAUAGCCCAACCCCCUCUUAUUCUUGUACUCGUAAGUUAGCCACAUAAAAAAAUGCCUAGUUGAUUGUUGUAGCCUCACCACUUAACCAUACCUCACCCAUUAAGCUUUGCUAGUCUUCAUACCUUUGGAGAUGAGAUUUCUGAGUCCCUGUGGCUCACCGAUUACUACAACAACAGUUGCAGGUGCUGGUAAAGCGGUACUUUGACGUGAGCGCGAUGAUUGUUCGAUUUGGAGUUUCUUCUUGUUCUUCUUCUUCAUCGAUCUAGGAUGGGUUCCAUACCGUCAACCUGGGAUAGCAAGGAUGAACGUCAUUUUUAUCGUUUUGUUUCGUCCGUAGUCAGACCUUGCUCUUUUGAAUGGUGAUUGAAUGUAUGUUUGUAUUGAGAUGAUCAUGAUUAGGUUAUGGUGAGUGUAAGCCAAUUCCAUACGUGUAUCUUUCCUUUACAUGUACUUGUAACAAUAUCCAUUCUUGCAAAACAGUGAGAUGCGCUUCUAUCCAUGUCGAGGCCCUUGUGCCAAAAGAAGGAUAGAAUCGCAUCUUGGGCGUUACAAUCUUC
This 1956-nucleotide long non-coding RNA is filed under the name Hordeum vulgare. RNAcentral's name for it is "long non-coding RNA (HVUL_LNC001029)". The record is from RNAcentral. Lineage: Eukaryota; Viridiplantae; Streptophyta; Magnoliopsida; Poales; Poaceae.